ACGAACAUUUGAUUGAAUUCUUUGCCAAACCCUGGGAUGAGAGAAAAGGUAGAUUUUACACGAAUUUUUAAACGGCCUAGCAUUGCUACCGUUGUUAAAUCGUUUGGCAAGGAUUUGAACCGCUAUUAAAUGACUUUUUAACCCUUGCCAAAAACUGUAGUCUUUGUAGUGAGUGUCUGGAUGUUGUAAUCAGCUAAUUACGACCAUCUUCAAGCUGCUUUCUAGCGAUAAUCACUUGUUGCUGGUCAGGAGGAAUUCCUCCUAGCUGAAAUCAGCAUUUCACCAGAAAGAUUCGGAGCAUGCUUGUUGACCAAGUUUUGCUCUUCUGACUCGUCCAGUUUAGCAACCAUCUUUGCUGCCCUAUCAAGGAAGCUCAUUUAUAAACAACAGCUUUUUUAAUCAACAUGCCAAAUUCGAUCUAUAAAUAGGAAAUGGAUUAUACAGUAGACCAUAACAAAAUAUUCUGACCAAUAGCACAUAUAAAAAUAAUUAUUAAAAAUAAUUUCUGUUAAAUGGAAAAAGAAAAGAGGGGGAAACCAUAAGAAAAUCGGAGUAACAAUCAACAUGAAGCUUCAAUCCUCCAUUGGAUUCAUUUCGGAGAAAAAGCCAAUUAGAGAACCUGGUUGGGGGAAGCUUAAUAGAGAAGCAGCCACGUGCCUCACCGUCGAUCAAACGAAACCCAGUCUCUCCGCUUCCUUCGUUCCUCUUUUUCUUCUUCGUUGGAUGAACCGGCAUAUGCAGCAGCAGCACUUAGUAGCUCGCGGAGCAACAUGCUGGGUGGCUGGCGAGAAAAAGCACCGUGAAUCGGAGAGAGUGGAUGAAGGGAAAAGGUAAAAUGGAGGGGGGAAAGUGAAGGGGAAUGGUGUGGAUAAGAAAGGCAUGCAAACUCCAAUGGUGGAGAGAGGCAUUAGGGAACUGCGCCUCUGACGCAAAAGCAGAAAAACUGCUGACUGGAGAGAAGGCAACUUCAUUUUGGCCUCAUCGGGGGAAAAUAUUUUCAUUCAAGAAGGAACCAAUUCAUGUAAUUAAGGUGGACCUUUUCCC
This 1044-nucleotide long non-coding RNA is filed under the name Linum usitatissimum (flax). Its description in RNAcentral is "long non-coding RNA (LUSI_LNC004964)". Lineage: Eukaryota; Viridiplantae; Streptophyta; Magnoliopsida; Malpighiales; Linaceae. The record is from RNAcentral.